This is a long non-coding RNA of Cervus elaphus (red deer), 4356 nucleotides long. RefSeq lists it as uncharacterized. The transcript is spliced from 5 exons. Lineage: Eukaryota; Metazoa; Chordata; Mammalia; Artiodactyla; Cervidae. The record is from RefSeq and is a predicted model, not a curated record.
CUGUGGACCGGCUCCUAAUCCUCUUGUUUUCGGUACAGUCAGCAGAUGUGGCUUCUUUUAGCUGAAUAAUCCGUUAAAGGAAUAACAAUUUUUAAAAAGGGGAUCGACCUCACCCAAAGAGGACGGCGAGCGAGAUUAGGGCUUGUAGAUCUACUGCCUUUCGUUGGAACGCUGCGGACUGAGACCAGUCCCUCAAGAAGAACAAAAAGACGAAGACCUGAGUGGACCUCCCCCCCGCCCCCCGACCCGGACAAAGCACUUUGGGCUCGGCGAGAAGGGACGCGCAGGAGCGCUGGUUCGGGAAUACGAGUGAUCUUCUGUCCGCCGGGCGUGCGGACCUCCGAGGGGACUCGAAUUUUAUUUAGCCUCUUGGGAUCCAGCGCAUUAGACAAGAGUGACCUUUUAAAUCUGUGUCCACCCUUCACCUGCGAGAGGACUGCAGCAACCGAGUUCUGGAAGGCUGAUUCCCCAGAUUCUGGCCCCGGACCCCGGCAGCUCGCCCCUGCGGCACGCCCGGCCGGAUUGCGCCUGGACUCAGCAAGCUAGGAAAAAGCCUGGAUUCGAAAGGAUGGGGGAGAACAAAGAGCCUUUGCAAGACGUCGCUGUUAUCUCAUUGUCUGUGUGACUGGGGGAGCUGCGGUAGAGAGGAUGCUGUGGUCCUUUCCUCCCGGCGCUCCCCCACCCCCACGCCUUUCCCCGCUGUCAGUGCGCACGCACGCGCGCCGCUUUUUACUUGUUUUUCCCGUUUUCUCAUUCCAUCUUCUCCCCAACCGCCCCCCUGCUUUCUUCCACCUUUCCUUCCUUCCUCCUCUCCUUCCUCAGGAGAAAGGCCUCUCUCUCCGUGUUCACAGCGGACCUUGAUUUAAAUGUCCAUACAAUUAAGGCACGCGGUGAAUGCCAAGAAUGGGGCUGGCUGAGCACCCGUCGGUCCGCGAGGGCCCUGCGAGGAAGGAGCCACAGAGCCCAGUCGUCCUCCGCAGAGCUCCGCGCCGCGGCUUCGGGAGCGGGUGGGGGUGGAUGGGGGGCGGGGGUCGCGGGCUCGCGCCGGCUGGGCUGCCCCAGCCGAAGCCUUUGGGGUGGGGAGGUGUGUAGCUUGUGACAGACAGGGGCUUAGAGAUGCAAACAAACUCAGAGAAACAGAAGCUGAUUCUGUGACGGAAACACAGAUCUGUGCAAGCACAGAUGGGGGCGGGAGGAGGCUGUGAGCGCAUUGCGGAGUGCUUCCGUGUGCAGAUUUUUCUCUGGGCUCCGGGUGCAUUGUAUGCGGGUCGAUACCUUCCUUCGUGGCUGCGUUUUUGCUCUGGUUUUAGCUUUUGGUUUACCCUUUAAACAAAUAACCGGGCAUCCAGAAGACUGGCAGAUUGUGCCAGGGCUGGGGCUGCAGAUAUAUUGGGUUCUGCUUGUGCUUGGGGUGGGGGUACGGGACCCCGCUGGGAGGGAGUAGGGAAGGGAUUUGUCCCCCUUUGCUGUGGAGCUGUAGUUACAGGCUUAAGGAAGUCAUUGAGAUACAGAGGGGGAAAGCAUCAAACUCCUGGACCAUUCUCAAGCUCUGUCAGAGCCGAAAGUCUGGCUAGGACUCUGGGGAGCCACUCACUUCCUCUUUGCGGCUGUGAUUGCAGUUGUAGGCAGAGAUCUGGGAGAUGAUGAGGGGGAGAGGCGCAGGAACCUACCUAGACCCAAGGAGGGAGGGUUCAUGCCUUUUAAACAUCUGAACAGAAGGAAAACCAGAAUGUGUACAGGAGGGGGUCUGAGGAAAGAUUAUUUUUGAAAGAGACCAUUCAGGGAAUGCAAAGGGUUAACCUGCCCUCCUCCUGAAGAACCUGCUACCCAAAUCAGCCUGUCUCUACAUCACCAGACCUAGAGCAGCAGUUGGUCCUACGGAUCCCCCUGCUCUCCACAGGCACAGCCCCAUCCCACCUCCAUCUCUGUAUUAACCGCCUCCACCCCCACCUUGAGCUUCAGUGGAUGGUGGAGACCUAAACUCAUUAAUUUCCAGGUGGAGAAAAUGGAGGCGGGGCAGGUCCCUGCAGGGAAAGGAGGCCAAGAACUGGAUCUUCCCACCCACGAAGGCUGCUCUGAUCAUCCCUUUCUUUCCCCUGCCCUGGGCAGAGGCCUGUCUCUACAAGGCCAAGGCCAUAGGGAUGCUGAGGAUUGUAUUUGAUUCCUGACACAGUAAGCAAAACCUAAAAGAGUGUCUCUACUGAAACUUGCUGAGGAGCUCUUUCAUCUCCAAAGCCUCACCCUCUCCCAUUCAGUCAAUUAGUAUUCAUGGACCCCCAGCCUUAUUUCCUCCUGAAUAUUUUUUUAGUACCUACUAUGUGCCAAUCAUUGUGUAAUUGUUGUAUCUUAGAUUCUUCCUUUGCCCUCCUAAGGGAGUGUCUGGAGUCAGGUGAGAUUAAGUUCACUGCACCCCAUCUAGACACUUCCAGAACCUUCUCUGGGUCUGACAGAAAUGCACCAAAACCUGCUCCCCCCUGCAGAGAGAAGACUGCAGUCCACAUCAUGUAAACUGCAAGCACAGUGCUGUCCUUCAGAUCCCAGAAGGCCAGCCUGGCUGGUGGACAGAAGAGAAAGCAGCUUCUCUAGCCCCUGAGCCUUAGCCAGUGUUGUCUUAAGAGGCACCCGCAGCCACCGCCUUCAAAAUAAUCCUCCCUCUAAACAGUCCCUCUUUGGCCCUCCUCUCCUUCCUCUGAGGGCUGUUCUGACAGUUCUUUGAGGCUGAUCUAAGCCUCUGAUGACCAACCCUCGACCCCACAGUUGUUCACAUAAAUGAGCUUUAUCUCCCUAAUUGCUUCCCUGUAAUUCCAUCAGAUGUGGCCGUGCCCUCUGCUGAUGUGCCUGCUGCCAGCAUCUCCAGACGCCUUUCCCAAGUAAUGUCCCUCUAAGGUGGAAACCUAACACGCUUCUCCCUGAGAGUUUAAACCGCAGGCACCAUGGACCAGGCCUUCCGGCUUCCUGCUGCCGAUCAUUAGGAGGGAGGGGCAUGCUUUAUUUUAUUACUUAUGUAAACUCUUGUUCCAGAAAGCUCUUAUGUGUGGGGGAGUGUUCUGGGUUUGUUGGGGCUUUUCCGGCAUUCACCAGGUCUCAUUAUGAAAUGUGUUUGGGGCUUUAAUGUGUAAAGGGGCUUUAAUGGCUGAAAUGGCAGCGAUGAAUACACCACUCUGCCCCCUGGGUAAUUUCAAGGCCCCUUUUGUGUGCACCAGAUAGAGGUGUGGGGUAAAGGUCAGUCCUGGCAUCUUCCUUUCGGCUCUGUUAGAGGCUUGCUUAUGCCUGGCGAUACCUAGGUAAGAAACCUAACUAUUUCUGCUCCUUCAAGGCAUUUUUUUUUUUAAAGACUUUAUUGAAUUUGUUACAAUACUGCUUUUGUUUUGUUUUGGUUUUUAUGGCUGGGAGGCAUGUGGGAUCUUGGCUCCCCACCAGGGAUGGAACCUAUACCCCCUGUAUUGGAAAGAGAAGUCUUCUUUUAACUCUCCACAUCAUCUUCACCCCUACCUAUUUGAAGCCCCUCUCAUUACGACCUAUGGCUUAAAUGAAAGAAAAACUAUUAUUUUUUUAAAAUGUGGGACAUGUUUGAGGCAGUUUGCCAACUGAAUAUGAUCUGAAGACCCAUGCCAUCGUUCACACACACACCACCAUCAUUAUGGUCCUCAUCGUGAUGGCAGCUCAAAGGUUUCUCAAGGAGUCAGCAUCACAUACUUUAAGAUGGAUUUAGAAAUGUAUCAAAGGAAAAAUUGGUAACAUUCUUCUUUCCCCUGCCAGAGACCCUCCAGGCUCAGAACUCUAAGCAGAAAAGCAACUGAACUUUUAACAAAGGCAAAGGUAAAUUCCAACUAUCAUCACUACAUUCCUGUUGCCCGCAAGGUGGGGAGAAGGGACAGUUUUUGUGGGCUCUUAAGGAGCCUUAGCCAGAGAAAUAAAUAUUUGGGAGUAGGGGUAAUUUCUCAGCAGGCAUAUGCUCAUAUACACAUAUAGAGAUUUUUCUCACACAGUCAUAUCCAUUGCUAGUAUUUAUAGUGACUCCAUUGUGAGUCACACAAACACACACACACGCAAUCCAUCCACCUAUCCUAUCUCUGCAGAGAAAUAAUUUUCUCUUUCCUUCUACUGAACUUACAUAAUAUCCCCACCCCUUGUUCCAGCCUUAGAAGAGAGUCCUCGGGGGCAGCUGUAAAGCCUUCUUCCUAGGACAGAUGGAGCCACCCUUCCUCAGCUACUCUGUGGGUGGGUUUAGUGAGUCAGUAGGGGCUGAGGGAUGUGCUGGUGGCUUGUGUUUGUGGCUUGCCUGGGUGAUUCACGGUGCUGAGUGUGUCAACAAUUAUGACAAUUUUAAUACCUAAUAAAGAUGUUUUCUUCCAA